CAAGUCGAGGGGUAUAGUAGCAAUACUAGAGACCGGCGCACGGGUGCGUAACGCGUAUGCAAUCUACCUUUUGCAGAGGGAUAGCCCAGAGAAAUUUGGAUUAAUACCUCAUAGCAUAGUGAUACCGCAUGGUACUACUAUUAAAGUCACAACGGCAAAAGAUGAGCAUGCGUCCCAUUAGCUAGUUGGUAAGGUAACGGCUUACCAAGGCCACGAUGGGUAGGGGUCCUGAGAGGGAGAUCCCCCACACUGGUACUGAGACACGGACCAGACUCCUACGGGAGGCAGCAGUGAGGAAUAUUGGACAAUGGGCGCAAGCCUGAUCCAGCCAUGCCGCGUGCAGGAUGACGGUCCUAUGGAUUGUAAACUGCUUUUAUACGAGAAGAAACAUCCCGACGUGUCGGGACUUGACGGUAUCGUAAGAAUAAGGAUCGGCUAACUCCGUGCCAGCAGCCGCGGUAAUACGGAGGAUCCAAGCGUUAUCCGGAAUCAUUGGGUUUAAAGGGUCCGUAGGCGGUCUUAUAAGUCAGUGGUGAAAUCUCCCCGCUCAACGGGGAAACGGCCAUUGAUACUGUAGGACUUGAAUUAUUAGGAAGUAACUAGAAUAUGUAGUGUAGCGGUGAAAUGCUUAGAGAUUACAUGGAAUACCAAUUGCGAAGGCAGGUUACUACUAAUGGAUUGACGCUGAUGGACGAAAGCGUGGGUAGCGAACAGGAUUAGAUACCCUGGUAGUCCACGCCGUAAACGAUGGAUACUAGCUGUUGGGAGUAAUCUCAGUGGCUAAGCGAAAGUGAUAAGUAUCCCACCUGGGGAGUACGUUCGCAAGAAUGAAACUCAAAGGAAUUGACGG
This 850-nucleotide ribosomal RNA is filed under the name uncultured bacterium. RNAcentral's name for it is "bacterial SSU rRNA". It matches the Rfam family "Bacterial small subunit ribosomal RNA", at positions 58 to 916 of the family's 1533-position model. The record is from RNAcentral.